CACACCGCCCGUCACACCACGAAAGUGGAUUGUACCCGAAGUCUCCAGGCCAACCCGCAAGGGAGGCAGGAGCCCAAGGUAUGAUUCAUGAUUGGGGUGAAGUCGUAACAAGGUACCC
RNAcentral lists this ribosomal RNA (118 nucleotides) under uncultured bacterium. Its description in RNAcentral is "partial 16S ribosomal RNA". It matches the Rfam family "Bacterial small subunit ribosomal RNA", at positions 1386 to 1501 of the family's 1533-position model. The record is from RNAcentral.